Non-coding RNA from Myodes glareolus (Bank vole), 914 nucleotides. NCBI's taxonomy places the organism in Eukaryota, Metazoa, Chordata, Mammalia, Rodentia, Cricetidae. The record is from RefSeq and is a predicted model, not a curated record.
CUGAGUCUGCAUGGCUGAAGCUGUAAUAGGAAGUUUCACAUCCGGGAAAUGUUUUAAGGGUUGGGCCUCUAGGCAGAUGGGGCAAGAAAGAGGUGUCCCGGGAGGUACUGCUGCGGGACACAUGGCACCCUGGUCCAUGGGGGAAUACCAGGAGUCAGUUUGUGGAGAACACAGGGGAUGAAUACAAGGUUGCAGUGAGUGGACGUGCUGGGCACAGCACCUCAGAAGAGCAAAGAUGGACUUGCUGGCUUCUCAUCAGCUCAGAAUGAGCCCCUUCUUUUUCUGGGAUCCACGUCAGUGUUGCUGUGAGGGACCAUCUCCCGCUUUGGUUGUCAAGAGGGAGCACCUCUGUUUAAGCCGGAGGUUGUAGGCAGUAGGUGCUAAUUAAGCAUUUGCUGUACUGAACUGGAAAGCCACAGUGAAGUCGUCUCCUUUCUCACAAUGAGCUAUGCCUUGUGCUUCUGAAGUUGCAUUGAAGAACCUGGGUGACUGGAUCUGUGAAUCAUGAGCCCGAGUUACCUCUGUUUCUUCGUGCAGAGAAGGAGGUUUUUGUUUUGUUUUGUUUUUUAAAUAGCUGUGUCUGCUGUUCUCACACCGGCUGCCUUCCUGGGAAGACAGCUCCAGUGUAUACCACAUCCCUUGCUGGAAAGGUCCUGGCAUUCUGUAACUGAAAUAGAUGGGCAGGAAGGGGACAAAAUGCAGCUUCUGAAGCCAAGGACACAGCAUGGGGAAGACCCAAGAUGACACAGCCCCGUGGGAAUCUCUAAAAUACUCCUGGAAACGCAAAUGGAGGACGAAAAGUCUCAACAUUGGAGUAGCCAACUCUACUUCCCCCCACAUCUUUCAGCAACAUAGCUAAUGAGGAUAUUAAUGGAAAUCUCCUUUAUAUGUAAAUGGUAGGUCAAAUACUUCAC